UACGUAGGGUGCGAGCGUUAAUCGGAAUUACUGGGCGUAAAGCGUGCGCAGGCGGUUUUGUAAGCCAGAUGUGAAAUCCCCGGGCUUAACCUGGGAAUGGCAUUUGGGACUGCAAGGCUUGAGUGCGGCAGAGGAGACUGGAAUUCCUGGUGUAGCAGUGAAAUGCGUAGAUAUCAGGAGGAACACCGGUGGUGUAAACGGCUUUCUGGACCAUAACUGACGCUGAGGCACGAAAGCGUGGGUAGCAAACAGG
This 253-nucleotide ribosomal RNA is filed under the name uncultured bacterium. Its description in RNAcentral is "partial 16S ribosomal RNA". It matches the Rfam family "Bacterial small subunit ribosomal RNA", at positions 524 to 776 of the family's 1533-position model. The record is from RNAcentral.